This 378-nucleotide ribosomal RNA is filed under the name uncultured organism. RNAcentral describes it as "partial 16S ribosomal RNA". It matches the Rfam family "Bacterial small subunit ribosomal RNA", at positions 527 to 897 of the family's 1533-position model. The record is from RNAcentral.
GUAGGUGGCAAGCGUUGUCCGGGAAUUAUUGGGGCGUAAAGCGCGCGCAGGCGGUUCGUUUAAGUCUGAUGUGAAAGCCCACGGGCUCAACCGUGGAGGGUCAUUGGAAACUGGAGAACUUGAGUACAGAAGAGGAAAGCGGAAUUCCACGUGUAGCGGUGAAAUGCGUAGAGAUGUGGAGGAACACCAGUGGCGAAGGCGGCUUUCUGGUCUGUAACUGACGCUGAGGCGCGAAAGCGUGGGGAGCAAACAGGAUUAGAUACCCUGGUAGUCCACGCCGUAAACGAUGAGUGCUAAGUGUUAGGGGGGUUUCCGCCCCUUAGUGCUGCAGCUAACGCAUUAAGCACUCCGCCUGGGGAGUACGGCCGCAAAGGCUGA